GUAACCUGCCUUUCAGAGGGGGAUAACGUUCUGAAAAGAACGCUAAUACCGCAUAAGAUUGUAGUUUCGCAUGGGACAGCAAUCAAAGGAGCAAUCCGCUGAAAGAUGGACUCGCGUCCGAUUAGAUAGUUGGCGGGGUAACGGCCCACCAAGUCGACGAUCGGUAGCCGGACUGAGAGGUUGAUCGGCCACAUUGGGACUGAGACACGGCCCAGACUCCUACGGGAGGCAGCAGUGAGGGAUAUUGGGCAACGGGGGAAACCCUGACCCAGCAACGCCGCGUGAGGGAUGACGGUUUUCGGAUUGUAAACCUCUGUCCUCUGUGAAGAUAGUGACGGUAGCAGAGGAGGAAGCUCCGGCUAACUACGUGCCAGCAGCCGCGGUAAUACGUAGGGAGCAAGCGUUGUCCGGAUUUACUGGGUGUAAAGGGUGCGUAGGCGGAUUGGCAAGUCAGAAGUGAAAUCCAUGGGCUUAACCCAUGAACUGCUUUUGAAACUGUUAGUCUUGAGUGAAGUAGAGGUAGGCGGAAUUCCCGGUGUAGCGGUGAAAUGCGUAGAGAUCGGGAGGAACACCAGUGGCGAAGGCGGCCUACUGGGCUUUAACUGACGCUGAGGCACGAAAGUGUGGGUAGCAAACAGGAUUAGAUACCCUGGUAGUCCACACUGUAAACGAUGAUUACUAGGUGUGGGGGGUCUAACCCCUCCGUGCCGGAGUUAACACAAUAAGUAAUCCACCUGGGGAGUACGACCGCAAGGUUGAAACUCAAAGGAAUUGACGGGGG
This 781-nucleotide ribosomal RNA is filed under the name uncultured Oscillospiraceae bacterium. RNAcentral's name for it is "bacterial SSU rRNA". It matches the Rfam family "Bacterial small subunit ribosomal RNA", at positions 121 to 919 of the family's 1533-position model. The record is from RNAcentral. Lineage: Bacteria; Bacillati; Bacillota; Clostridia; Eubacteriales; Oscillospiraceae.